RNAcentral lists this non-coding RNA (45 nucleotides) under Schistosoma margrebowiei. Lineage: Eukaryota; Metazoa; Platyhelminthes; Trematoda; Strigeidida; Schistosomatidae. The record is from RNAcentral.
AUCCAACUGACGAGUCCCAAAUAGGACGAAACUCGCGUGCUGGAU